CCCUUUCUGGAAAUAGAAGCUUCUAAUUUCCCUUAAAACAUGAGUCACUGGAUGGAAGUAAAAGCACCAUAAGACAGGAGAGAGAAGGAGGAGGGAGCGAAAAGGAUGCUCCUCAUAUAGCGAGACCACUGAACUUUGCUGUGCUGGUGCUCGCGACGCCCUGCUGAAGGUCCACUUCCCCAGUGAUCGGCUCCUGCCUGGGAUUCCCAGGGACAGGGAAUACGAUUGCCUGCGAACACGGGACCGCAUCUCCCCAAACGGUUGAGAUUUAUUAGAAGGACAGCUCCCUGUGGUGCCAGCAAAUCUUGAAUCUCUGGCAAAUAGACAAUGUGCAGAGUGAGGAAUAUCGCCAUCACGAAUUCACACAUUCACAGUGCGUGAGAUUUAGGAGAUGACAUUGAAGAAUGGAAGUCAUAGGACCUGCUAAUUUCUAAUCUCCUCAACACAAAAUAUGAGAAUAAGAAGGGAACUUUAGACUUUUUAUCAAGUCAAUUCAGAAAUGUAUUUGAAGCAUGAUGUAAUAGUAAACCACAAUGUAACAUUUACAUCAACAAACUUUUAAAAAACAAUUUGUAUUCUAAGAGUGAUUCCUGUUUAUUAUGGAAAACUAGGAAAUAAGGAAGAAAUAAGAACAAUAAGAAAAAAAGAACCAGUCACAAUGCUAGAUUCUAGAAAUAAUAAUUGCAAAAAUAAUCAGUGUGAACCUUCCAAUAUUUCUCCUGUGUCUGCAGUUUUUACGCAAUUGAAAAUAUACUAUAGAGGGUGUAACUAUUAGCCUACAAACUCAGACAUAUUUGAAAUAUCAACUUCCGUCAUUUUUCUAAGGCUCAAACUCAUUUCUAUAGCAAGUCCUCGCUCUGCCUGUGAAUUUCACCUCCAUCAACUUGAGACAAUGCUUUUCUUUCUAGGGUGUAUCUGAGUUGACAGGGGUCGGUGAUAAUGUGACAUCAGGGAUGGGAGAUGGGCACUUGGUCCUCAAGUAUUCAUCUACAUAUGUCUCUACUAAGAAGUUACCUGUCCCUGUUUGCAUUCUUUCUCUUCAUUUUUGUUUCUUUUUUGAGAUUUUAGUUUUUAAGUAAUCUCUACACCCAACGUGCGGCUUGAACUCACAACGCUGAGAUCAAGAGUCACACACUCUACUGACUGAGCCCAGCCAGGUGCACCGUCUCUCCAUUUUUUAUGCUUCCACCUAGGAAACAAAACCCCAGGACCCACCAAAAUCUGCCUGUUAUCAACUCCCAGUUUCUUUCCUCUUAAAUCUAGCUUUACUUUUUUUUUUUCAGGUACAGGAAUAUGCUGGUUUUUUACCUAUUGCCUCUCAGCUCCAAACUCACUCCUUUUACACUCUUGCUCUCUGAUGAUGGGACUGGACUCUGGAAGCUGUAUUUCCCAGACUUCUUUGCCAGCUGCCUUUCUGCUGGUCUUGCCAAUUGGCAGCAGCAGAGGGAACUGGAAGGUAGAAGGAAGGGAGAAGUGGCUUUCCUCCUGUUUAUUGCCUGUCCUGUCAGAGUUGCCCAGGGCUGGCGAUUUGUCCACCAGCAGCAGUUGGCUCAGAUUUCAGCCCCAGUGUCCUCUAGCAUCCAGCGUCUGCCACGCGGACCCCCUCACAGCAGCCAGCCACGACUGGGUGGUGCUCCCAUCUCCCAGGUCUGAGCCCCACCUCCAGGAAGCCCUCCCUUCCAACAGUCCCCGAUGACACUGCCUCCAGAUUAUCACCUCAGAGCACCCCUUGGCUCUCUUAGCCCUCCGGCACCUGGAGAGCCAACUUCCAAAAUUAUAAUAGUUGUGAGAUUUAGGUUUUCCUCCCAGGACCCUAACCGAUAUCUGGGGGAGGGAUUCUUCUUUCACUUAAUCUUGAUGGGUUUUUUUUUUUUUUCCCUCAGAAGCAAUCCCUCUGUCUGGUGUUUGAAUCCCAGGCCUUCGGUGGGAGCUCCUUAAAGGGUUCAAGCAGUUGAGAACACAAAAGCUAGCAACUUUCUAGCUCUUUCUGUUUCCCACACAGCCAUGCUUCCCUGGGUAUAUGAACACAGAACUGGGCUAUGAACUUGAGUGGGGGAGGGAGACAGAGCGGUGGAAAAAGGGGGCAAUUGUUACUAUGGCAAAAAUACUGUCAAAUGGUAAUACUUUUAAUUAAUGCCUUUCCCUGUUUUUUAUAAACAUCCCUGUAUUCUCUUUCUUUGCUGAGCCUUACCCAAACUGCAGACUCAUGAGCAAUAUAAAUAUUAUUUUCAGCCAGUAAGCCAUCAAGUUCUGGAGUAAUUUCUUAUGCACCUACAUCAUCCAAUACUGAUUCUGUAGUGUGUGUGUGUGUGUGUGUGUGUGUGUGUGUUUACAUAAACAGAUAACUCAGUAUUCUGUUAUGUCCUGUUUUUCCAAGUUUAAAAGUAAGAACCUUCAUUAUCAUGGUUUCAAAUUAGACUAUAGAAACUCCUGAAAAACAUUUAAUGUAUUUACUGCCCACAAAGCCAAAGUAUCUACCACUCAUUUUCUGAGGGUUUUUCAACUUUGUUGAAUAUAUUGUUAAAAUUCAAGUUACAGUUUUUUCUUGUCCUGAAUUAUCAAGCAGUUGAACUAUUUUUCACCCAUUAAAGUUGAUUUAAAUACACAGGCUUAUACAGCUUAUAUGAAAUUUAGUUCCAUGGCUGCUUGAACCAAAAGAAAGUCAAGAUGGAUGAUCUGUGUUAACUCUAUGCAACCAUAUGUGUAUUUAUGGAGCUGAAAAGCAAGUCUGAAAUUUUAUGUGCACUUUAAAAGAUAAAAUCUUCAGAGAGAAACAUGUUCCUGCCUUCAUAAAUAGUGCACCAAUAGUUUGUACAUCAUCUCAUAACAAUAAUAAAUGUUCCUCAAAGACAGCUACAAGUUUGCAAUUGAUUUUGAUCAUUACUCCACACUGAAUAACUUCAGAAUUCAACAAAGCCAGAAUGAUGUUGCAGACCAAUAUGCAAAGACAAUAUGCAGUCAGGUCACAUAGCCUAUUUAGCCCUCUAAAUAGCUGCAGACAAAGAUGGGAUUUUGGGUGCUGCAAAGCUGAAGUACAACAAAUACAUAUAGGUAUGAUGGGGGAGCCAGGUUAGAAUAAAGUUAAUUUAGAAAUCUUGCAAUUGGGAGGCGCCUGGGUGGCUCAGUUGGCUGAGUGUCUGACUUUGGUUCAGGUGGUGAUCUCACAGUUCAUGGGUUUGAGUCCCGUGUCAGGCUCUGUGCUAAGUCAUCUCAGAGUCUGAAACCUGCUUUAGAUGCUGUGUCUCCCUCUCUCUCUGCACCCUCCCCCCCACGUGACUCACACUCUCUCUUUUAAAAAUAAACAUUUGUAUACACACACACACACACACACACACAUACAUAUGAAAUGUUGCAGUUGGUCUCAAAUUUGAUAUCAGAAUGAGUAAAGAUUAUAUUUUCAAAAAUUGUUAAUAGUUGAAUGAGGAGCAAAUGUAACUAUAAAUGAAGGUAACUCAAUAAUUCUAUAAACAGGUGUACACAUUUAAUGAAUUUUACAAAAGGAAAAUUAACUCCAUACCUUUAGUAGUAUGGA
Molecule: long non-coding RNA, 3532 nt
Organism: Acinonyx jubatus (cheetah)
Lineage: Eukaryota; Metazoa; Chordata; Mammalia; Carnivora; Felidae
Exons: 3
Source: RefSeq, a predicted model, not a curated record